GACGAACGCUGGCGGCGUGCUUAACACAUGCAAGUCGAACGGAAAGGCCCUGCUUUCGCGGGGUGUCCGAGUGGCGAACGGGUGAGUAACACGUGAGUAACCCGCCCUGGACUUUGGGAUAACUUCAGGAAACCGGGGCUACUACAGGAUAGGAGCGCCUGCUGCAGGGGGGGGGUCGGAAAGUUUCGGCGGUGGGGGACGGACUCGCGGCUUAUCAGCUUGUGGGUGGGGGAGGGGCUUAGCAAGCCUUUGACGGGUAGCCGGCCUGAGAGGGUGGCCGGGCUCAUUAGGCCUGCGGUACGGCCCAGACUCCUACGGGAGACAGCAGUGGAGAAUAUUGCACAGUGGGCGGACGCGUGAUGAGGCAGCGCCGCGUUCGGGAUGACGGCCUUCUGGUUGUAAACCGCUUUCGCCUGUGACGAAGCGUGAGUGACGUUAAUGGGUGAAGAAGCACCGGCUAACUACGUG
This 468-nucleotide ribosomal RNA is filed under the name uncultured bacterium. RNAcentral's name for it is "partial 16S ribosomal RNA". It matches the Rfam family "Bacterial small subunit ribosomal RNA", at positions 28 to 507 of the family's 1533-position model. The record is from RNAcentral.